UACGUAGGGGGCAAGCGUUGUCCGGAAUCAUUGGGCGUAAAGAGCUCGUAGGCGGUUUCGUAAGUCGGAUGUGAAAACUCCAGGCUCAACUUGGAGACGCCAUUCGAUACUGCGAUGACUUGAGUCCGGUAGGGGAGUGUGGAAUUCCUGGUGUAGCGGUGAAAUGCGCAGAUAUCAGGAGGAACACCGGCGGCGAAGGCGGCACUCUGGGCCGGUACUGACGCUGAGGAGCGAAAGCGUGGGUAGCAAACAGG
Molecule: ribosomal RNA, 254 nt
Filed under: uncultured bacterium
Lineage: Bacteria
Description: partial 16S ribosomal RNA
Rfam family: Bacterial small subunit ribosomal RNA
Source: RNAcentral